Molecule: ribosomal RNA, 253 nt
Filed under: uncultured bacterium
Lineage: Bacteria
Description: partial 16S ribosomal RNA
Rfam family: Bacterial small subunit ribosomal RNA
Source: RNAcentral
UACGAAGGGGGCUAGCGUUGUUCGGAAUUGCUGGGCGUAAAGCGCACGUAGGCGGAUAUUUAAGUCAGGGGUGAAAUCCCGCAGCUCAACUGCGGAACUGCCUUUGAUACUGGGUAUCUUGAGUAUGGAAGAGGUUAGUGGAAUUGCGAGUGUAGAAGUGAAAUUCGUAGAUAUUCGCAGGAACACCAGUGGCGAAGGCGGCUAACUGGUCCAUAACUGACGCUGAGGUGCGAAAGCGUGGGGAGCAAACAGG